Molecule: ribosomal RNA, 975 nt
Filed under: human gut metagenome
Description: bacterial LSU rRNA
Rfam family: Bacterial large subunit ribosomal RNA
Source: RNAcentral
AAGGUAGCGAAAUUCCUUGUCGGGUAAGUUCCGACCCGCACGAAUGGUGUAACGAUCUGGGCACUGUCUCAACUACCCACCCGGCGAAAUUGUAGUACCGGUGAAGAUGCCGGUUACCUGCGGCAAGACGGAAAGACCCCAUGGAGCUUUACUGUAGCCUGAUAUUGGGUUUCGGAAAUCUAUGUACAGGAUAGGCGGGAGACUAGGAAACAUGAGCGUCAGCUUGUGUGGAGUCGAUGUUGGGAUACCGCCCUUAGGUUUCUGGAAUUCUAACCUGCGGCCGUGAAUCCGGUCGGGGGACAUUGUCAGGUGGGCAGUUUGACUGGGGCGGUCGCCUCCGAAAAGGUAACGGAGGCGCUCAAAGGUUAGCUCAGCACGGACGGAAACCGUGCCUCUGAGUGUAAACGCAAAAGCUAGCCUAACUGCGAGGGUGACGGCCCGAGCAGUAACGAAAGUUGGAGUUAGUGAUCCGGCGGUAUGUGAAUGGAAAUGCCGUCGCUCAACGGAUAAAAGCUACCCUGGGGAUAACAGGCUGAUCUCCCCCAAGAGUCCACAUCGACGGGGAGGUUUGGCACCUCGAUGUCGGCUCAUCACAUCCUGGGGCUGUAUUCGGUCCCAAGGGUUCGGCUGUUCGCCGAUUAAAGUGGUACGCGAGCUGGGUUCAGAACGUCGCGAGACAGUUCGGUCCCUAUCUGUCGUGGGCGCAGGAUAUUUGAGGAGCUCUGUCCUUAGUACGAGAGGACCGGGAUGGACGUACCUCUGGUGCACCAGUUGUCAUGCCAAUGGCACGGCUGGGCAGCUAUGUACGGAACGGAUAAACGCUGAAAGCAUCUAAGCGUGAAGCCGACUCCAAGAUUAGAUAUCCCAUCGUAUAACGAGUAAGACCCCUUGAAGACUACGAGGUUGAUAGGCUGCGUGUGUAAGUGCCGUGAGGCAUUCAGCUUGGCAGUACUAAUAGGUCGAGGGCUUGACCAC